ACGGGAGGCAGCAGUGGGGAAUAUUGGACAAUGGGGGGAACCCUGAUCCAGCCAUGCCGCGUGUGUGAAGAAGGCCUUUUGGUUGUAAAGCACUUUAAGCGAGGAGGAGGCUACCUAGAUUAAUACUUUAGGAUAGUGGACGUUACUCGCAGAAUAAGCACCGGCUAACUCUGUGCCAGCAGCCGCGGUAAUACAGAGGGUGCGAGCGUUAAUCGGAUUUACUGGGCGUAAAGCGUGCGUAGGCGGCCAAUUAAGUCAGAUGUGAAAUCCCCGAGCUUAACUUGGGAAUUGCAUUCGAUACUGGUGGGCUAGAGUAUGGGAGAGGAUGGUAGAAUUCCAGGUGUAGCGGUGAAAUGCGUAGAGAUCUGGAGGAAUACCGAUGGCGAAGGCAGCCAUCUGGCCUAAUACUGACGCUGAGGUACGAAAGCAUGGGGAGCAAACAGGAUUAGAUACCCUGGUA
Molecule: ribosomal RNA, 460 nt
Filed under: uncultured Acinetobacter sp.
Lineage: Bacteria; Pseudomonadati; Pseudomonadota; Gammaproteobacteria; Moraxellales; Moraxellaceae
Description: bacterial SSU rRNA
Rfam family: Bacterial small subunit ribosomal RNA
Source: RNAcentral